ACCGCUUCUCAACUUUUUGGCUAAGAUCAAGUGUAGUAUCUGUCCUUAUAAGUCUACCUUGACUCAACAGCUUAUGUGCCUUGGGCACCCCCUGAAGUCAGCGUUUGGGCAUCUGUGACUUGUGCCCUGACAUUUCAUCUUAAGCUCACUGCUGCUAUUGGGUAUAGGGCUACUACCUUGGUAAAAAGAGUUCUG
Molecule: small nuclear RNA, 195 nt
Organism: Bufo bufo (common toad)
Lineage: Eukaryota; Metazoa; Chordata; Amphibia; Anura; Bufonidae
Product: U2 spliceosomal RNA
Exons: 1
Source: RefSeq, a predicted model, not a curated record